UGGGGAAUAUUGGACAAUGGGCGCAAGCCUGAUCCAGCCAUGCCGCGUGAGUGAUGAAGGCCCUAGGGGUGUAAAGCUCUUUCACCGGUGAAGAUAAUGACGGUAACCGGAGAAGAAGGCCCGGCCAACUUCGUGCCAGCAGCCGCGGUAAUACGAAGGGGGCUAGCGUUGUUCGGAUUUACUGGGCGUAAAGCGCACGUAGGCGGACUUUUAAGUCAGGGGUGAAAUCCCGGGGCUCAACCCCGGAACUGCCUUUGAUACUGGAAGUCUUGAGUGUGGUAGAGGUGGGUGGAAUUCCGGGUGUAGAGGUGAAAUUCGUAGAUAUUCGGAGGAACACCAGUGGCGAAGGCGGCUCACUGGACCAUUACUGACGCUGAGGUGCGAAAGCGGGGGGAGCAAACAGG
This 404-nucleotide ribosomal RNA is filed under the name Actinomycetes bacterium. RNAcentral's name for it is "Actinobacteria bacterium partial 16S ribosomal RNA". It matches the Rfam family "Bacterial small subunit ribosomal RNA", at positions 355 to 776 of the family's 1533-position model. The record is from RNAcentral. Lineage: Bacteria; Bacillati; Actinomycetota; Actinomycetes.